RNAcentral lists this ribosomal RNA (495 nucleotides) under uncultured bacterium. Its description in RNAcentral is "partial 16S ribosomal RNA". It matches the Rfam family "Bacterial small subunit ribosomal RNA", at positions 28 to 507 of the family's 1533-position model. The record is from RNAcentral.
GACGAACGCUGGCGGCGUGCCUAAUACAUGCAAGUAGAACGCUGAAGGAGGAGCUUGCUUCUCUGGAUGAGUUGCGAACGGGUGAGUAACGCGUAGGUAACCUGCCUGGUAGCGGGGGAUAACUAUUGGAAACGAUAGCUAAUACCGCAUAAGAGUAGAUGUUGCAUGACAUUUGCUUAAAAGGUGCAAUUGCAUCACUACCAGAUGGACCUGCGUUGUAUUAGCUAGUUGGUGAGGUAACGGCUCACCAAGGCGACGAUACAUAGCCGACCUGAGAGGGUGAUCGGCCACACUGGGACUGGGACACGGCCCAGACUCCUACGGGAGGCAGCAGUAGGGAAUCUUCGGCAAUGGACGGAAGGCUGACCGAGCAACGCCGCGUGAGUGAAGAAGGUUUUCGGAUCGUAAAGCUCUGUUGUAAGAGAAGAACGAGUGUGAGAGUGGAAAGUUCACACUGUGACGGUAUCUUACCAGAAAGGGACGGCUAACUACGUG